Molecule: long non-coding RNA, 996 nt
Organism: Manacus vitellinus (golden-collared manakin)
Lineage: Eukaryota; Metazoa; Chordata; Aves; Passeriformes; Pipridae
Exons: 5
Source: RefSeq, a predicted model, not a curated record
GGACAAAAUUAGAUGCUUUUUUGCAGGCGGUGUGCUUGUGGUGAAUCUGUGUGCGUACUUGUUUUUUUGUUUUCCAGGCAGUGCACUGACUUCUGACGUGCAGUCCAACGUGAUGGGGACCCUGCCUGAGAUGUAGACAGCCUGACAGGGCCGAAGCCAACUCACAAUGAGGAGAUGGACACGGUGCCAUCCGGGUAACCUUUGGGAGCAGAUGAGCAUUGGAGGUAUCCCAGAAGAUGACAGCACAUUGUCCAAGUCUGGUCAGAGCCAGUGACAUGAGGACCUGCCUCAGUGCCAUUGACUCCGAGUACUCUCAGGAUGACAGGAACCUCUGAGCCAACCCAGGUGCCCCUCCUCUGCAUCAAAGAUGGAUUCACAUCCCCGGCUCUCGGAAAGAUAAGUGCAGGGCAAAGACCCAGAGAGGGGUUGGGAGUCGGGGCAAGUAUGUGCAUCGCCUGGAGGGAUUUUUGCAAUUAGUAUGGUGCAAUGGGUGUCCUGUAGCAGGUUAUUUAGAGACCUCAAAGGAAGGGCUUACUUUGUAUCAUUGGAUUCCCGUGUGCAGGGCAGAGCAGUUCCGGUCUGUGUCACGUCCUUUGUCUCCUCCAUGUUUGUGUCCUUCGUCUCUUAAUUGUGUCACAUGGUGUGUGUCAUCACAGGUAUGGGGUGUCUCACUUGGGGUCAGCCUGGAACUGCUCUGCCCUGCUACGUGGAUCAGUGGGUAGAUAGAAUAUUGCUCAGUCUCACAUCAACAUGUCAGUUCCCUCAGACAGUCGAACCGAUGGCUGUACGGUCCUGCCGGAUGGAGCAGGUGUCCAUAACUCGUGUGCAAUCAUUAUAGCUGAGUGUUGUGGAGCUGAUGGUACUUGGAUAGCAGGGCCUUGAAGCUGGGUUGUCAUUUGUAUUCUUGUAUGCUGUGGUCAGAGUUCUCACUCGCUCAGUGGAAAUGAGUUCUUUGAAGUGGUUAAGGUCUCAGAGACCAUGUGGGUGACCUGACUA